CCCCCCCCCCCACCCCCGCCCGCUGUUUCUCCGUCUCUCUCUGUAGACGAGGUGGGCGAUCGCUGGUGGCCGCGGGCGGAGGCCGCCCUUUGCUUCGGGUGUCGCCGGCGGUGGAGGGUCAACCCAGCGCUCGGCUGCUCGUGGUGCUCAACGUGGAUUGUGGCGAUUUCGCGAGGUGUCCGCCGUAGGAGAGAUCUGCGCUUGUGCGGCGGCGACGACAGCGGCAGCAAUAAUAGCAGCAGCUUCUUUUUCGCUGUACUUCGGCUGCCCACGGAAGGGACAUCAUGCCGAAGAGAAAGUCUCCAGAGGGUGCUGAAGGCAAGGAUGCAGCAAAACUAACGAAACAAGAGCCAACAAGACGAUCUGCAAGAUUGUCAGCUAAACCAGCUCCACCAAAAGCUGAGCCUAAGCCAAGGAAAACCACUAAGAAGGAACCUGGAACAAAGGCUAACAAAGGUGCUAAGGGGAAGAAGGAUGAAAAGCAAGAAGCUGCAAAGGAAGGUACUACACCAUCUGAAAAUGGUGAAAAUAAAGCUGAAGAGAUUCGCAUCUCUCGCUCAACUGUUAGUGUUUCAACAUCCAGAGGUGCCCCACCCAGCACACUGUCAGUAAAAGGGCAGAUUGAAACAGUGAAAGUUAAGGGUACGAUAGAGAAUUCUGCAUGUGUGCAGUGAAUAGAAACAGAUAGUAGUGUGGUGCUUUUCAUUGUGAACAAUGGAAGCUGGCAGGUACAGAGAACUGAAUCUGUAGAGGACAAGUGCGCAUGAACUGACAUGAACAUUUGAGGAUGAUUUUAUGUACCUCUUGGACAACUUUUAAAAGAUAUUUUUAUCAAGUAUUUUGUAAAUGCUAAUUUUUUAGGACUUACGCUAAGUUGACAAACUGUAUAUGAACAUUUCCUCUCCCCCCCCCAUACCCGUGCUUCUAGAAAUUCCCAAUGUUGCCAAGUUUAAAAACAAAAAGUAUCAACUUAAGAUUGGAAAAAGUGUUUGUAAGAUUGGACAAGCAUUCCAUAUACUCAUUUUUCAGAAAUGUAUGUCUUGUGCAUAUGGUGAUGUUUUUACCGUGGGUGUUUGGAUUUUUCUUGCAGUUUUUUCUAGAGCAAUAAUCUGUGGUGCUUUUGUACUUAAGGUUUAUGCGAUUUUAAUGAAACAUGUAUAAAUAUGGCCACUUGCUGACUAUUUUGGGUUCUUUACAUUUGUUUAAAAUAAUAAAUUAAAAAGACACCUUGCCAGGAAAUAUAAUUUUCCAAUAUUUUAUCUAAAUCUGAGAUAUGCCUUAUAAAUACUUAAUUCUUGUUAGGAAGACACUAAGCACACUUAUUAGACGUUCCCGUGAUUUCAGGACCAGGGUUCAAGCCCAUGGAAAUCAGUGGGGCUUAACACCACAAUCCUAAACAUACUUACUUGACAGUAAGGUCUAUUGUACGACCAGAGUAUCAGACUGCUGAAACACAAAUAUUCCAUCUAAGUGGUUUGUUGGGGAAAGCCAAAAUGCUUUCUGCUCCUGAUCUUACAUUUAUGACACAUGCAGACCUAGGAUAAUAUAUAUGUAUAUAAAAGGUUCACAUAUAUUCAGGAGUCUUUAGAACUUGUGACCCACCAAGACAAAAACUAGCCCACCAGCCAUUCACUGCAGCCUGCCAGGUGUUUCAGAAAUCCCACCUUAUUUCUGCAGUCUAAGGUAGGCAGACAUAAAUAUGAGGAAGGAUCAAGACUAUGUCAGUCAUGACUAGUCCCACUGAAAUUAAUGGGACUCAAGUUUAACCAUGACUAACUUGUCAUAUUUAUUUCAGUAGUGCUUAGUCAUGGGAAACUUAAUCUGGAUCCUGCCCAGGAUGUUAAUUCAGCUCUCGGUGGGCUACCAUACAUUGUUGAUGAUCUGCAUUCAGCUGGAUGGGUCACAGGUUCUUCAGGGCCUGACAUACAAGAACAAAAGAUCUAAAAUGUCCUUUUUUCCUGUCUUUCUUUCUUUGCUUCUUCAACUGAAAUAGACUUUAUAGUACUGUAAUAGCACAACACAUAAUUGAGCUACAAAAACUCCAUCUAUUUCUUGGUGGAGAGAAGCAGAGGAACUAUUUCAGAGCUCCCCCUUUUUGCUCUGCCAGAGAUGAUUACCAUAUAAACGUCUAAGACUACAAAGCCCUAGUUUCUAUCUACUCCAAUUUUAAUCUACAUUUGGUAAUUUCUCCUGCCUUAUCAGAGGAAUGGUGGUUAAUCUAUCAACAUUGCGGUUAAAACAACACUGUAUGUGGUACAGCUAUCUGGUAGAGAUAAUGUAGGUGAAGUAUACUUUAAGAGGUCUGUGGUUGUGAUGGUGGUGUUAACUUAGCUGGAUGAUUUCUAGUACUCCUGUUAAACUGCUUCCACCCAUUAUCCGCAUCUAGUCCUUUUCCCUCUCUGUUUUUAUCCUUUUUGCCUGGGACUUGGAUAUUUCUAUUGUUUGUGGGGUGGAAAGGUGAGGGAAAAUAUUUCUUGUCCUUCAAUAACAUUUAUUUUUCUUGCUACACUGGUGGCCAUAAUGUCUGGGGAUAUAUGCAUGUUUCAGUCAAUAAAUGAAGUAAUUAUCACCUAA
RNA transcript from Hemicordylus capensis (graceful crag lizard), 2574 nucleotides. It is a transcript of the gene named high mobility group nucleosomal binding domain 3, with no coding region annotated. The transcript has 7 exons. The record is from RefSeq and is a predicted model, not a curated record. Lineage: Eukaryota; Metazoa; Chordata; Lepidosauria; Squamata; Cordylidae.